AAUCAACUACAUGGCAGUUCAGCAACAUAAACAUUAUGCCAUCUGCUGGUCCCAGCAAACGAGUUUUAACGUCAUCAAUAUGACACUUGUUAGAGCUGGCAUUGCAUGGGAAAAAUAUGAGCACUCAACUUGCCAUGUAUAACCUGAAAGACAAAUCCUUGCUAGUGGAGAAUAAAGUGAGCACAACAGAUCAGAGCAGAGCUUGGAAACAGAGAAGACUGGAGUCAAGACCUGAGCCUGAUUCAACUAUAUCUGAGGUCAGAAUGCCCAGGACUUACAACUUGA
This is a long non-coding RNA of Tupaia belangeri chinensis (Chinese tree shrew), 285 nucleotides long. RefSeq lists it as uncharacterized. The transcript has 3 exons. The record is from RefSeq and is a predicted model, not a curated record. NCBI's taxonomy places the organism in Eukaryota, Metazoa, Chordata, Mammalia, Scandentia, Tupaiidae.